AUGACGGUGUUCCGGGGCCCGCCCGGCCGGCCCUCGGCGCUCGUGAGCUGGUGGAGGAGGCGCCCGCCGCUGGGCUUCGCCGCCAAGGUCUCCAUCGCCAUCGCGCUCGGCCUCUCCUUCGUCGUCACCUGGACCACGCUCGCCCCGACCUCCUCCUCCCAGCAGAUCUCCACCGAGCGCACCUACUUCGCCGCCGACGUCGCCGACCCGCCCCCUGGAGCGCUGGCGCCCCCCCGCAACGCCACCGCCCGCGCCGUCCACAGGAAGCCCCGCCCCGCCAGCCCCCGCGCCCGCAAGAAGCGCCGCGCCCCGCCUGGAUCCCGCCGCCCCAAUGCCACCCCCUCGCCCGACGCCGCCGCGCUGAGGUCCAACCUCACCGACCCGGACGCGAGGCCCGAGCCGGAACAACCCAACAAGCCAGAGCCGGAGUGGGAGUGGGAGGACGAGCAGGAGCCGGAACUGUCCGUGCCGGAGGACGACGCGGAUGCCACGGGGAAGGCGCCCAAGGAGGAGGAGAACGACGACAAGGCGCCGGCCCUGGAAUGGGCCGACGAAUCCAGCGAGCUGGACGCCGAGGAGGAGGAGGACCCGGAGGCGGCCAAGGGCAAGGCUUCCAAGAAGAAGAAGAAGAAGCUGCCGCCUCUCUUCAGCCCGGCCGCGCAUUACCACUGGAAGCUCUGCAGCGCAAAGAGCGGCCACCACUACACCCCUUGCGUGGAUUUCGAUGGGGAUGGGAGCCAGAAGCACCACGAGCGGAGCUGCCCGAGGUCGCCGGUGACGUGCCUGGUGUCGCUGCCAAAGGAGUACAAGCUGCCUGCUCCAUGGCCGGAGAGGAAGGAGAAGAUUUGGUAUGGGAAUGUUGGACAUCCUAGGUUGUCGAGCUAUGCCAAGGACCACAGCUGGCUGAAUCGGACCGGCGAGCACCUGGUGUUCCCGCCGGAGGAAUCGGAGUUCAAAGGCGGCGCAAGACAUUAUAUCGACACGAUUGAUGAGAUGGCACCUGAUCUUGAUUGGGGUAAAAAUAUUCGCAUAGCAUUGGACAUUGGAUGCAAAAGUGCUGGAUUUGGAGUUGCUCUACUCGAGAAGGAUGUGAUUACACUAUCAUUAGGCCUUACAAAUGAUCAGACAGACCUUGCACAAGUUGCCCUUGAACGCGGCAUCCCUGCAACAAUUGGCAGUCUGGGAUCAAGAAGAUUACCCUUUCCUAGUGGUUCAUUUGAUAUUAUCCACUGUAGUGAAUGCAACAUACCAUGGCAUUCUAAUGGUGGAAAGCUUCUCAUAGAGAUGAAUAGGAUCCUUCGCCCAGGAGGAUACUUCAUUAUCUCGAGCAGACACGGUGAUCUCGAGAGUGAAGAAGGAAUAUCAGCUUCAAUGGCUUCAGUUUGCUGGAACGUAAUAGCUUACAACAGUGAUGAUGUCAGCGAGCUUGGAGUAAAGAUAUUUCAGCGACCAGCCUCAAAUGAUGAGUAUGACCUGAGAGCAAAAAAAGAUCCUCCAUUUUGCAAGGAAGAGCAAAACAAAGCUACUGCAUGGUAUACUCCAAUCAAGCAUUGCCUGCACAAAGCUCCUGCUGGUAUCGAAGAAAGAGGCAGUGAGUGGCCUGAGGAGUGGCCCAAGAGGCUCGAGACUUUUCCUGACUGGCUCGGGGACCUGCAGACAAGGGCGUCUGCUGAUCAUAGCCAUUGGAAGGCCGUCGUUGAGAAAUCGUAUCUGGAUGGGUUGGGUAUUAACUGGACAAAUAUCCGAAACGUGCUGGAUAUGAAGGCUGUAUAUGGAGGAUUUGCUGCAGCUUUGUCGUCCGAAAAAGUCUGGGUCAUGAAUGUUGUCCCCGUGCAUGCUCCAGACACCUUACCUGUAAUCUUUGAGCGUGGGCUGGUUGGUGUUUAUCACGACUGGUGCGAACCAUUUAGCACAUACCCAAGGUCGUACGAUCUUCUUCACGCCGACCAUUUGUUCUCACGCUUGAAGAACAGAUGCAAGGAACCUGUUGCGAUCUUGGUCGAGAUGGACCGGAUCCUGAGACCCGGAGGCUGGGCCAUCAUCCGGGAGAAACUCGAGAUUCUCGACCCGUUGGAGGCGAUCCUGAAAUCGCUGCACUGGGAGAUUGUGAUGACCUUCAGGAAGGACAAGGAGGGUAUAAUGUCUGUAAAGAAAACAACAUGGCGACCAUGA
RNAcentral lists this ribosomal RNA (2172 nucleotides) under Triticum aestivum (bread wheat). Its description in RNAcentral is "partial small subunit ribosomal RNA". The record is from RNAcentral. Lineage: Eukaryota; Viridiplantae; Streptophyta; Magnoliopsida; Poales; Poaceae.